CCUACGGGGGGCAGCAGUGAGGAAUAUUGGUCAAUGGGCGUAAGCCUGAACCAGCCAAGUCGCGUGAAGGAUGACGGCUCUAUGGGUUGUAAACUUCUUUUAUAUGGGAAUAAAACGUUGCACGUGUGGGAUUUUGUAUGUACCAUAUGAAUAAGGAUCGGCUAACUCCGUGCCAGCAGCCGCGGUAAUACGGAGGAUCCGAGCGUUAUCCGGAUUUAUUGGGUUUAAAGGGAGCGUAGGCGGAUUUUUAAGUCAGUGGUGAAAGUUUGCGGCUCAACCGUAAAAUUGCAGUUGAAACUGGGAGUCUUGAGUACAGUAGAGGUGGGCGGAAUUCGUGGUGUAGCGGUGAAAUGCUUAGAUAUCACGAAGAACUCCGAUUGCGAAGGCAGUUCAC
This 394-nucleotide ribosomal RNA is filed under the name uncultured bacterium. RNAcentral's name for it is "partial 16S ribosomal RNA". It matches the Rfam family "Bacterial small subunit ribosomal RNA", at positions 338 to 729 of the family's 1533-position model. The record is from RNAcentral.